This 226-nucleotide ribosomal RNA is filed under the name uncultured bacterium. RNAcentral describes it as "partial 16S ribosomal RNA". It matches the Rfam family "Bacterial small subunit ribosomal RNA", at positions 109 to 334 of the family's 1533-position model. The record is from RNAcentral.
AGUAACGCGUGAGGAACCUGCCUCAAAGAGGGGGACAACAGUUGGAAACGACUGCUAAUACCGCAUAAGCCCACGGCUCGGCAUCGAGCAGAGGGAAAAGGAGCAAUCCGCUUUGAGAUGGCCUCGCGUCCGAUUGCUAGUUGGUGAGGUAAUGGCCCACCAAGGCGACGAUCGGUAGCCGGACUGAGAGGUUGAACGGCCACAUUGGGACUGAGAUACGGCCCAG